Molecule: non-coding RNA, 74 nt
Organism: Salmo salar (Atlantic salmon)
Lineage: Eukaryota; Metazoa; Chordata; Actinopteri; Salmoniformes; Salmonidae
Source: Rfam
UUACGGUUCAUUAUUACUUUUGGUACGCGCUAGGCCAGUCUCAAACUCGUACCGUGAGUAAUAAUGCACUGUGG